GACGAACGCUGGCGGCGUGCUUAACACAUGCCAGUCGAGCGGAAAGGCCCUGCUUUUGUGGGGUUCUCGAGUGGCGAACGGGUGAGUAACACGUGAGUAUCCUGCGCUUGACUGUGGGAUAACUUCAGGAGACUGGGGCUAAUACCGGAUAGGAGCUCCUGAAGCAUGGGGGGGGUUGGACAGUUUCGGCGGUUGGGGAUGGACUCCCGGCUUAUCAGCUUGUUGGGGGGGUAGUGGCUUACCAAGGCUUUGACGGGUAGCCGGCCUGAGAGGGUGACCGGCCACAUUGGGACUGAGAUACGGCCCAGACUCCUACGGGAGGCAGCAGUGGGGAAUAUGGCACAAUGGGCGGAAGCCUGAUGCAGCAACGCCGCGUGCGGAAUGACCGCCUUCGGGGGAGAAACCGCUUUAGCCUGUGACGAAGCGUGAGUGACGGUAAUGGGUAAAGAAGCACCGGCUAACUACGUG
This 468-nucleotide ribosomal RNA is filed under the name uncultured bacterium. RNAcentral's name for it is "partial 16S ribosomal RNA". It matches the Rfam family "Bacterial small subunit ribosomal RNA", at positions 28 to 507 of the family's 1533-position model. The record is from RNAcentral.